GCGGAUGUAGCUCAGUUGGUAGAGCACAGGAUUGUGGAUCCUGGUGUCGCGGGUUCGAAACCCGUCAUUCGCCCCA
This 76-nucleotide transfer RNA is filed under the name Blastochloris viridis. RNAcentral describes it as "tRNA-His". It matches the Rfam family "tRNA". From Rfam's summary of the family: Transfer RNA (tRNA) molecules are approximately 80 nucleotides in length. Their secondary structure includes four short double-helical elements and three loops (D, anti-codon, and T loops). Lineage: Bacteria; Pseudomonadati; Pseudomonadota; Alphaproteobacteria; Hyphomicrobiales; Blastochloridaceae. The record is from RNAcentral.